AACCUUGCUAUAUUUCCACGUCUUAAUAUAAUCAGCACAUUGGUCCCUAGCAUGAACUUUUAUUAACAAGAUAUAAUUUCUUGUUAAAGAUGAGCAGACGGGUGACACCCGAAUCGUUAGUGUGCUACCACAUUUGGAUUCCAUCACCCCCGAGCAGCAACAUCCGAGGACCAGCGAGGCCCACGCAGUGGUCACCGUCGUCUGGACUUUGUGUUCAAACUUUCAAACUUUAAUAUUUCCAAAACUCAAACUAAAACAAUUGAUGCAUCUUGUAAUAGGAGAGACACACACAAUCCAUCUUCGCCUCUCAUAGAAAAUUUUCAUUCACUCCAACCACCUCCUUUGGUCCCCCGGAGGACCAAGACUUUGAGUCUUUCUUUCACGUUGGUGUUGUCUUGUGUCCUUCAUGGUGUUGCCCCGCUGAACCUACUCGCUGUGCUAGCGAUGCUCAUCGUGAAGAUUGUGUAUGAGCCAAUGUUGGCUCAUAUUUUUGUUGAAUCGGCGCACCUUGACCACCCCAUCUAUGGGGAUUGGCGUCCAACUCUCCAUGGGACCGUCAUGGAGAACCAGAAACCAUGGAAGGACACUACUUUAAGUGCCCUCAGCCUUGACUUGGUGUUUCAUGACACCCGGUGGCGGAUCCAGGAUUGGCUGACGCCCCAGGCGAGAAACUAAGGCUAAACACUACCUGAAAAAACUCCAGUUUCAAGGCAUACAAAAGUCAAAAUAUGUUGCAUGUUGCAUAACUACCAAGAAACCAAGCAUAUAAUAUUCAAUGGCAGCAUUUGUUCCAUGAUGGGACAACUAGUAAAGCAAGACAAAUCAAAAGACAAUAUGUAGCAUAUAUAGAUGAUACAAAGGAUUGAUAUCAAAUCAAAGAAUUGGUUGAUCUGAGCCUCCCAUGACUCAUCUUCAAUAGCAGAAGAAGCUAAACCUUCAAUCAUAAAUUUCGAAAUGCAAAUCAGUGCGUAUUAUAGCAGGUAAAACUAGUUAAUAACAGAUGCAAAAUGUGAAAACUUAUGUCUAGGACGAGGCAAAAGGCCUUUGCGUGUGCGAUAACCUUGAAAUCGUUCAAUGGUCUUUGAUUCUUCAAUACUAACAAAUACAUCUCAUUCAAUGUAACAUACCAUUUUGUUAUGCAUCCACUCAUCGCCCAUUUUGUUUCUCAAUCCAGUCUUGAUAAUGCUCAUUGUUUAGAAUGCCCUUUCCACCGCUGCAGUUGCAACAGGUAAAAUCAAUGCUAACUCAACAAGACAAUAGGGAUACUAUCAGUUGUUUGAGUUGAAGGACCCGUUUCCGUAGUUUCGGUGGUUCAAACUUAUAAAAAAGUAUUAAUGUCUUGUUUCUUUUACUCAUCUUGCCUUCCUGUAAAAUUUUAGAGAAAUAAAAAUUACUCAAUGUCUAAAUCGGUUUUUACAUCUAACAAACAGUGGCAUCUAACAACUAAAAUCAUCAUCAACUAGUGACAAUGUGGCAUCUAGAAACAAAAAUAGGGCAUCUUGAAAUAAAAACAACACUGAGGAAGUGAGGAGUGAGGUGAGGACCACCUCGCCGGACGCCGGCCAACCUGUAGGCUGCAGCCUCACGCGGUCGCGCCCUAGCCGGGGUCGCCGCCUCGCUCCCUCGCCGGCGGACAGGGGCGCUGGAAUUGGGGAACUGGG
RNAcentral lists this long non-coding RNA (1661 nucleotides) under Triticum aestivum (bread wheat). RNAcentral describes it as "long non-coding RNA (TAES_LNC013039)". The record is from RNAcentral. Lineage: Eukaryota; Viridiplantae; Streptophyta; Magnoliopsida; Poales; Poaceae.